GCCUGGCUGACUCAGUUGGUAGAGCAUGUGACUCUUAAUCUCAGAGUUGUGGGUUCAAGCCCCAUGUUGGGUG
This 73-nucleotide transfer RNA is filed under the name Felis catus (domestic cat). It matches the Rfam family "tRNA". From Rfam's summary of the family: Transfer RNA (tRNA) molecules are approximately 80 nucleotides in length. Lineage: Eukaryota; Metazoa; Chordata; Mammalia; Carnivora; Felidae. RNAcentral also lists the same sequence under 2 other names. The record is from Rfam by way of RNAcentral.